GUUCUUCCAUUUGCAGUCCGGCGCGCGCCCGCACGAGGUCCGCUCAGUCCGCCGCUCCGCUCACUUCAAAUCACACCGGAGUAAAGCAAAGCGAACAGAACCGAGCCGAAGACAAACGCCUCCGUGUCUGUCGCCGCGGGAAAGUGGACCUUCCGUAGCGGCAUCCUCGCUCCAGAACCCCCUGCAGGGAUCGCGGUGUGCAGCCCCGCUUCGUUUAAAACUUCUCCCUCCGGUUCCCUCCGUCCCUCUCUCCAACUCAAAAUGGAGAACGAGAGUAGUAAGUACCUCCCGCAGCUGCUGGCGGAGAGAGACAGUCUGGACUCGUCCUUCAUCCACGCCAUGAAGCUCAUAUCCGCAGAAAUUGAGAGGGUUCAGAAAGAGGAGGCACCAGAGAAAGACACCGAAACGUACUUGGAUCUCUUCACAGCGAAGAAUAUCAAACUGAAGGAAAGAGUUCUUAUACCAGUCAAGCAGUACCCAAAGUUUAACUUCGUUGGGAAGAUUCUUGGGCCUCAGGGGAACACAAUCAAGAGACUGCAGGAGGAGACGGGAGCGAAGAUCUCUGUGCUGGGGAAGGGCUCCAUGAGAGACAAAGCCAAGGAGGAAGGCCUGAGGAGAAGUGGGGAGCCGAAGUACGCCCAUCUGUCCAUGGAGCUCCACGUGUUCAUUGAGGUGUUCGCACCUGCUCCUGAAGCAUACUUGCGCAUGGCCCAUGCAAUGGAGGAGAUUAAGAAGUUCUUGUUCCCUGACAUGAUGGAUGAAAUUUGCCAGGAGCAGUUCAUGGAAAUGGGUUAUCUGAAUGGCAAUCAGGAUCAUGGCGUUAGGGGCCGAGGAGGUCCACUUGUCAGGGGCCGUGGGGCACCGCCUGCUGCACCUAGGGGUCGUGGCAUGCCGCCAAUGCGUGGUGGAGUACCUCGCGGUGGUCCUGCAAGAGGUGGAGCGGUGAGAGGAGCUCCAGCAGGACGAGGUGGACUACCAGCCCAGCCAGCCAGAGGUGCCGUAGCCGGCCGCGCCCGUGCCCCAGCUCCAGGACCCCAGAGAAUGCCUCCUCCACCCCCACGCCCUCCAGCUCAGGAGAGCUACGAAGAAUAUUCCUAUGACGAAAGCUACACGGAGCCAGCCUACGAGUCCUACGACAGCUAUUACAGUCAACCACAGGCAGAACCAGAGUACUAUGACUAUGGACAUGGAGAGACACAGGAAGGAUAUGACAAUUAUGCUCAGGAUGACUGGAAUGGAACACAGCGUGCUCCUACUGGUGGGAAGGUCUCUGCUCAAAGACAAACUAAGGGGGCAUACAGAGAACACCCCUAUGGACGAUACUGAACUUCACAAGCAGGACGUCAUCCAUAAUGUGUCACCAUGAUGACUGUCUCCCAUGGCAGCUCACGCUUUAAGCAACCCGACAAAAGUAAUGGUUCCUCGAGAUCCUGGCUUGGAGUUGAGCUUUACGUGAGCUUGAACUCUUUUUCUCAGGGAAAGCUGUUGAUUUUUGAAGCAAACUUUUGAACACCACCACCACUUUUUGGAAGAAUGCUUGAAUCUGCACAGAUGGAGUUAAACAGAAGUUCUGUUGGACAGCUUUCAAGAACGCCAAGACGGAGUGCUAGCAAAGUGCAUCGGCACAUCUUAAAAAGGAAAGAAAAAGGAAAUCAAUGUUUUUCUCAGUGCUGCUGCCAAGGCGUGCAGCAGCAGGCACUUAUUGAGCUGGAGCAGAAAAGGGCUUAGUUGUCCUAGAGCCUUCAGCUGUGUGUGGUCACAUAAUGGAAAUGAGCCUGGGUUAUUGUUUAUGUUUCUGGCACUUUUUAUGUUCACCUCAUUAAGGCCUUUCUGAAGCACACUUAAUGUUGUCCUUAAAAUGACCAUCGUGUUUUUGUUGUCAUGUCUGUUUUCUCCUCAGCCAUUUCUUAGCCAUGAACUCAACUAACAAAAAAAUACUCAUUCUCUCCCUGCUCUCCUGGUCUACCUCAGAUAAUGGCACAGUGUUUUAUUCUCUCAGACAAGCAUCCCCUUGUCACACAUGGGCGCAAACUCGCUCAGAGCAGCGUGCAUUCUAAUGUGGAACUAACUGGCCCGUGUGUCUGUGCACAGUCCUUGUCUUCAUGUUUAAUUGCCAUGGUAAUUUCCGUCUUGCUCUUGUGCCAAAGCCAUCCUUUUGAACGAAUGUGUGCCGCAUGAACUGUUUUUCAUUUACAGCAAUGUGCGCACAGUUGAUGCGCUGUGAUUAAUUGUGUGGCACAGACUUUACUGUAAGAUUUUUUUUUUGUGUGUAAUUUAAUAAAAUAUUAUUAUUAAACAUGGUGUCAGCAUUGGGG
RNA transcript from Colossoma macropomum (tambaqui), 2315 nucleotides. It is a transcript of the gene named KH domain containing, RNA binding, signal transduction associated 1b, with no coding region annotated. The record is from RefSeq and is a predicted model, not a curated record. NCBI's taxonomy places the organism in Eukaryota, Metazoa, Chordata, Actinopteri, Characiformes, Serrasalmidae. The transcript is spliced from 11 exons.